RNAcentral lists this long non-coding RNA (328 nucleotides) under Populus tremula. RNAcentral describes it as "long non-coding RNA (PTRE_LNC001149)". Lineage: Eukaryota; Viridiplantae; Streptophyta; Magnoliopsida; Malpighiales; Salicaceae. The record is from RNAcentral.
UUGCUUUUUGCGUUUGGCAAAGGCCCUUUGUGUCUAGACCCAAAAAUCUCAUUUGGUCGUUUUGUUUCUGUUGCUUGUUUUCCCAUCAAAGUCCUACAAAUCCCACCUCAAAAACCAAAUCUAAAUGGCCAUGGCCAUGAAAACCAAGCUCAAAAAUCAAAUCUAAAUGGCCAUGGCCAUGGCCAUGAAAACCAAGCUCAAAAAUCAAAUCUAAAUGGCCAAGAUAGGCAAAAGUUAAUCUCUAGAAAGGGCCCUCAUAAAUCAUUCCUAAAUUAUGCAACCAAGGGUCUUCUUUUGGCAAUGGUGGUGGCUUCAUAUGACUAUAGUG